Molecule: ribosomal RNA, 1307 nt
Filed under: uncultured Chloroflexota bacterium
Lineage: Bacteria; Bacillati; Chloroflexota
Description: bacterial SSU rRNA
Rfam family: Bacterial small subunit ribosomal RNA
Source: RNAcentral
AGAGUUUGAUUAUGGCUCAGGAUAACGCUGGCGGCGUGCUUAAUACAUGCAAGUCGAACGAAGCCCUUCGGUGCUUAGUGGCGAACGGGUGAGUAACGCGUUGGUAACCUGCCCCAAAGUGGGGGAUAACAGUUCGAAAGGACUGCUAAUACCCCAUGAUCAUCAGGAUUAGAUGCUUGAUGAUGAAAGGAGUAAUCCGCUUUGGGAGGGGCCUGCGUCCCAUCAGCUAGUUGGUAGGGUAAUGGCCUACCAAGGCUUUGACGGGUAGGGGACCUGAGAGGGUGGCCCCCCACACUGGCACUGAAACACGGGCCAGACACCUACGGGUGGCAGCAGUAGGGAAUAUUGGACAAUGGGCGAAAGCCUGAUCCAGCAACGCCGCGUGCGCGCGGUUCGUUGAGCGCUUUUAGGGGAGGAAAAUCCCCUGAAUAAGCCUCGGCAACUACGUGCCAGCAGCCGCGGUAAAACGUAGGAGGCAAGCGUUAUCCGGAUUUAUUGGGCGUAAAGCGCGUGCAGGCGGCUUGGUAAGUUGGAUGUGAAAGCUCCUGGCUUAACUAGGAGAGGUCGUUCAAUACUAUCAAGCUAGAGAAUGGGAGAGGGAAGUGGAAUUCCGGGUGUAGUGGUGAAAUGCGUAGAUAUCCGGAGGAACACCAGUGGCGAAAGCGGCUUCCUGGACCUUUCUGACGCUAAGACGCGAAAGCUAGGGGAGCAAACGGGAUUAGAGACCCCGGUAGUCCUAGCUGUAAACGAUGUAGACUUGGCGUUGGCGGAGUUAAUCUGCCAGUGCCGGAGCUAACGCGUUAAGUCUACCGCCUGGGGACUACGACCGCAAGGUUAAAACUCAAAGGAAUUGACGGGGACCCGCACAAGCAGCGGAGCGUGUGGUUUAAUUCGAUGCUACACGAAGAACCUUACCAGGGUACAUGAAGUGAGGAAUCCGAAAGGUGACCGUCGAGCUUCAAGGUGCUGCAUGGCUGUCGUCAGCUCGUGUCGUGAGAUGUUCGGUUAAGUCCGCUAACGAGCGCAACCCUCACUGUGUGUUACAUGUGUCACACGGGACUGCCGGUUUUAAGCCGGAGGAAGGUGGGGAUGACGUCAAGUCAGCAUGGCCUUUAUAUCCUGGGCUACACACACGCUACAAUGGUCGGUACAAUAGGUUGCCAAGCCGCGAGGCGGAGCCAUCCAUAAAGCCGGCCUCAGUUCAGAUUGUAGGCUGCAACUCGCCUGCAUGAAGAUGGAGUUGCUAGUAACCGCAGGUCAGCAAUACUGCGGUGAAUACGUUCCCGGGUCUUGUACACACCCCCGUC